ACGCACGUGUGAAACUUGAAGGAAUUGACGGAAGGGCACCACAAGAACGCGUGGAGCAUGUGGCUUAAUUUGACCCAACGCGGGAAAUCUUACCGGGUCCGGACACACUGAGGAUUGACAGGCACUAUUAAAAAUGGAGUCUCGCAUUUAUUUGCGUGUUCUUCUUUUUAUGUCAAAUAUGCUAGUCCUUUCAUGAUUAUGUGAUAGGUGGUGCAUGGCCGUUCUUAGUUCGUGGAGUGAUCUGUCUGCUUAAUUGCGUUUCACAGAGGAUUCAGUAUCCGCGUUUCGUGUACCUGUUACCUUAUGAGAUCCCUUUCAUUUGCUAUUACUUCUGCGCUUCGGCAAAGAGUGUAGCUGAGAGUGUGUGUCUCUGGUUUCUUGGAUUACCGUUACGC
Molecule: ribosomal RNA, 395 nt
Filed under: Foraminifera environmental sample
Lineage: Eukaryota; Foraminifera
Description: partial small subunit ribosomal RNA
Rfam family: Eukaryotic small subunit ribosomal RNA
Source: RNAcentral